Long non-coding RNA from Musa acuminata AAA Group (dessert banana), 843 nucleotides. RefSeq lists it as uncharacterized. The transcript has 3 exons. The record is from RefSeq and is a predicted model, not a curated record. Lineage: Eukaryota; Viridiplantae; Streptophyta; Magnoliopsida; Zingiberales; Musaceae.
CAACAUUGCUCUUGCCUCCUCUUCGAUUCUCCUCUCCAGCUUCUUCCGUUCAUCAAAGACUUCCUUUUUCUCAUCUUUAACUCACAAUAUCUGACCGUUUUAGUUGAGGAAAGCUUGGGGUCCGAAAAGGGUUGGAUUUUACCCCAAAAUAUAUCUUCUCGGAGAAAAUUUCAAAGAAGGCGGGAGGUUUGGAGUUGUCUUCUUGUCUAUCUUCCGGAUUUCAGUUGGUAUUCCAUAGAUUUGUAGUUAUCUACCCCGCAUUGGGAGGAUCUUCAUGCAAACUGGCUGCCCUUAAUCGAUUUCUUGAUGGAUUAAAAAGGCAGCACUGUGGAAAGAAACUCGAUGUGUGAGAAAGAGAGAUGCAAUUCCAUGACUUGGAGGAUAAUUAUUUCAAGUGCCAAUUUACCAUGACAGAUGAUCAGUAGCUGAAAACCUAUGCACAGACUUCGAAAGACAAUAAAAACAAUCGAAAAGGCACUUGUUCAACCAGCUUCUUCAAUAGCCCAAAAAUUAUGGGUUUCAUGAUUCAGUUGUUCUGGAAAAGCUUCUUGCCAAUAAAUGGUACAUUUACUACACUGCAAUUGCAAAUGAGUUUGAACUUUGAAGAUCUUGCCAAAUCUGACCUGGUGGAUCCAUGCAGAGUUUCAAAAUGUGCUUUUCUAAACUGCAGAAUCAAUGUCUUAAUAACUCAAGCUGUCAAAGUGGAGAAGUGGAGAAAAGAAGGUAGAUUACUUGUUUUGAAAUGAUAUAAACCUUGCAAUUCCAUCACUCAGAACUCAAUACUGCCAAACUGAAAAUUCGAACUGUCUGGCUUGCUGAUUACUUGGGGAUGACAAUGUAUGA